AAAAAAUUAGCAAAAUUAAUUUAUAAGCUUUCUACAGAUUAAAUUUAUACCUGCCCUGUAGGGAUGUCNCAAAGGUCAGUAAAGCGGCCACAAAGGCCAAAGUCCUUUAAAGGUCAGCUUUUAAGUACCGUCCCUGCCCUCUAAGUGGCNCCUUGCUUGUCACCUUCUUCUUCCCCUAAAGGCGAACUAAAGGGGAACCCUUGUCAUCGUCCCCUUUGGGCUCCCCCCUUGUCAUCCGUCUUCUUCCCCUUUAGUUCGUCUUCUUUAGUUCCCCUAAAGGGGAUGAACCAAAGGUGUGUUCUUCCCCUUUAGGGGAACCCCUUCUUCAUCCCCUUUAGGGGAACUAAAGAAGACGGAGUCCCCUAAAGAAGACGGAGUCCCCUAAAGAAGACGGAGUCCCCUAAAGAAGACGGAGUCCCCUAAAGAAGACGGAGUCCCCUAAAGAAGACGGAGUCCCCCUAAAGAAGACGGAGUCCCCCUAAAGAAGACGGAGUCCCCUAAAGAAGACGGAGUCCCCCUAAAGAAGACGGAGUCCCCUAAAGAAGACGGAGUCCCCUAAAGAAGACGGGGUCCCCUAAAGAAGACGGAGUCCCCUAAAGAAGACGGAGUCCCCUUUAGGGGAAGAAGAAGAGACUUUGGGUGUGUUCUUCCCCUUUAGGGGAACCCCUUCUUCUUCCCCUUCGUUUUCACCCCUUUAGUUCAUCCCCUUUAGUUCCCCUAAAGGGGAUGAACUAAAGGGGAUGAACUAAAGGGGAAGAAGAAGAGACUUUGGGGUGUUCUUCCCCUUUAGGGGAACCCCUUCUUCUUCCCCUUCGUUUUCACCCCUUUAGUUCAUCCCCUUUAGUUCCCCUAAAGGGGAUGAACUAAAGGGGAUGAACUA
This 880-nucleotide long non-coding RNA is filed under the name Volvox carteri. RNAcentral describes it as "long non-coding RNA (VCAR_LNC004243)". The record is from RNAcentral. Lineage: Eukaryota; Viridiplantae; Chlorophyta; Chlorophyceae; Chlamydomonadales; Volvocaceae.